ACUUCAGUCCACUCAGGACUGUGACUAAAUGACUUAAACUGUAUAUAUCCAGCUUAAAAUAUAAACAGUUGCUCAUGGCUAUUGAAGCAGUAACAAAUUCAAUGUCUGGUGAGGGCCGUGCUGUCCCAUCCUCCCAAAAGGGCAAGGGAGUUCCCUCUAGCCAGACACAAAGUUAUUAAUCUUGGGCAUGCAAGACCUCCCCUCAUCAUUUAAUCCCUUUAUAAAAGGCUCCUGCCUCUUUUUCAACAUUUGGGUUUUUUUAAGAUAGGGUCUCACUUUGUAACUUUGGCUAACCUGGAGUUCCCUGUGUAAACCAGGCUAGCCUCAAAUUCAUAAAGAUCCAUCUGCCUCUACCUCCCGAGUGCUGGGAUUAAAGGUGUGAAACAUCACCAGCGACCCUAGGUUUCACCGCUUAAUAUGAUCUCUCUGGUGCUUAAAUGCCAACAUGAGUUUUGGAAAAGACACAAACCUCGAAGCACAACCCCUGUGCUGAGUAGGACUUCAGAGAUGGGGGGGACCACAGUUCGUUUAGAGUUCCUCUGUUAGACACAGUCUUGAUCUGGGUCUGCAGAACUCAGCCUAAUAGUACAUCUGGAACUGAGCCUGUGUGAAGUUUGCAGAUGGAUCAACAUACAGAGCUGGAUGAAGGCCGAGCCAUAAAAAUUGGCAAAUUUAGAAGAGCAGAGAUCAUGACCGCUUAUAUUUUAAUGCACUUGAUUUUCUCAGCAGGCCAACUGCUAAGAUGACCUUGAAAGGAAAGACUUAAUUACUCUAUGUGUGGAAAAUAUCAUGAAGAUAGAUCAAUUAUUUUUGAAAACAAAAAGGCUAAAUAUCAGCAGUGUAAUCAGAAAGACCCACAACACCCAGAUGAGCGACCUCAUUUCCUGAAUGCAUCGGGUGAUUAUGUGUCUUCAUCUUGAAAUGCCUCUAAAUAAAUGCCUUUGGGAAGCAGACUCACAACUUUGCAGAAAAAUAAUAGUCUAAAUGAAGAUGAAACAAUCAGCUGGGUUCUAAAAUGAUUAGUAUGAGGAAGAAUUUUAGAAGCCAUCGGUGAAAUACAGACAGUGGACUUAUCACUUGGAAUCCAGAAAGAGACGGAAGAUGUCAGCAGAGGCCUCCCCAUCUCUCUUGAGAUAAGGUGAAAUGAGCCGAGACAUCUCAUGUCCGUUGACAAUGGCUUUCCCAAACACCUCCCAAUAUUUGUCGGAAUUUCCAGAAAAAAGGACAGAGUGAUGCUUGCAUUCUUAAGGCCUCUUCCUCCUGGCCUUUCCUCCAGCAUGUUACUGUGGCUCCUGUCAUAUACACACACAACUCUGUCUUCUCUGCGAAUUAAGUCAACCAAGACAGAAGCAGCAGCCACGACAACAAAGCUGGACCAGUUCCAUUUAUUAAAAACAGUGAUGGACAGAGAAGCUGUUCAUUUACUACAUCACCCCAAAAUUCAUAUGCUGAAAACUUGGUCCUCAAAGUCCUGUAUAUUUGAUGUGGGGCCUUUGGAGGAGAGAGUGUUGAAGACCCUUUCAGGACAAUUAUGAUUUAUGAAAUCUAAUCUGGCAUUGGAACAUGGAGACAGAAGAUUCCUGUCUGAAAACUCACAGAGUGUGGUGACAGAGGAGGUCAGCAGAGUCAAAGCUGUUUUAGGACUGGUGUUGGGAAGGGGGCUUCCUCCUAGCAAAUCCCAUUCUCUUGACCUCUGCGCCAACCUGCUUUAAUUUUCCAUCGGCCUCAUUUGUCUAUUGCUGCAUUCCCUGAUAAAAGUCUAAGACGUCAAGGGUGUAUGCAUGGAGUGCUUUGGCACCGGAUGGAUAAACUGAAGAUAAAGCCACCGAAUAAAGUGACAUUACUGCUUGAAGGUAUGAUUGAUAGGAAGGUUUCUAUUGUAGAUACAAUGGAGAGAACAAUCAGAGGAAUCUGGAAGAAUCCAGAGCAGAUAAAGAAAGCAGCUGACUGAACAUGGCCAGAGGAAGACAAGGAAAGUUCAGGCAAAGGAGACUAAGAGAGAGGGCCAAAAGAGAGGACCAAGAGAGGGGGCAAACGGGAAGAGAACAGGAGAGAGCCAAGAGCAGGUUUCUAUGGGAACGAGAACCUGGGAAAGGAAAGACCAAGAGCUGGUGUAGCAUAGGGUUGGGUGGGGUAGGUCCUUGUGGUACUGGGGGACACUGAAGUCAGCAUGUACUUUGGUAAGCUCAUAGGCACCACAGGAAGGGAGCUGGCCUCACAAGUCUCCAGGAAUGCUGGCUUUUGUGUGACCACCAGAGUUUAGUGAAACGGAGUUUCCUUUGGAUCUGACAAAGAAGCUGCUGGCUGCUGCUGUAACUUUGGGAAUUUCCAAAAAUCUGACUUCCUGGGUUGACAAUUCUUAGCCAAAAUAGGACCAGAGAUGGUGACAUAUCAUGGAAGAGGAGUAGGGCUAAGGUUAUCACAUUUCUCCUUCCCCUUAAAGCCUGUGUUCUAGAAAAUAAUUAUUAACAUAGUACACAGAGAGUCAGUGGUUUGAAACUACUUCAGCAUCUGAAAAAAUAAAAAAUACAAAUUUUGUGGAAGUGGAGAGAUGGCUUAGAUAUUAAGAGCACUCACUGCUCUUGAAGAGGACCCGAGAUUUGUCCUGAGCACUGCCUGUAACUCCAGCUCCAGAGAGAUUUGAUGCUGCUGACUUUUGUGGGGACCCAAGGUCACAUGCCCAUAUACACACGUGGACACACAGACAACUGAAGAUAAAAUACAUCUUCGAAACAAAUAAAUAACAGCUUGGAUUAAGAAUGUAGGGUGGAGAGGGCAGCGAAGAGACUCAGUGGGUAAAGAUACUUGCUGCCAAGCCUAAUGACCUAUGUUCAGUCCCUAAAUCUACAUGGCUGAAGGAGAGAAUCCACAACUACAAAUUGUUUUCUGACCUCCACAUUCAUGCUGUGGCACAUGCACGCCCCCCCAAU
This is a long non-coding RNA of Mesocricetus auratus (golden hamster), 2930 nucleotides long. RefSeq lists it as uncharacterized. NCBI's taxonomy places the organism in Eukaryota, Metazoa, Chordata, Mammalia, Rodentia, Cricetidae. The transcript is spliced from 3 exons. The record is from RefSeq and is a predicted model, not a curated record.